UACAGAGGUCUCAAGCGUUGUUCGGAUUCAUUGGGCGUAAAGGGUGCGUAGGUGGCGCGCUAAGUCAGGUGUGAAAUUUCGGAGCUUAACUCCGAAACUGCAUUUGAUACUGGCGUGCUUGAGGACUGGAGAGGAGACUGGAAUUUACGGUGUAGCGGUGAAAUGCGUAGAUAUCGUAAGGAAGACCAGUGGCGAAGGCGGGUCUCUGGACAGUUCCUGACGCUGAGGCACGAAGGCCAGGGGAGCAAACGGG
This 253-nucleotide ribosomal RNA is filed under the name uncultured bacterium. RNAcentral's name for it is "partial 16S ribosomal RNA". It matches the Rfam family "Bacterial small subunit ribosomal RNA", at positions 524 to 776 of the family's 1533-position model. The record is from RNAcentral.